UCGCGCGACGCGAAUAAGUUCGACUCGACGCAGCUCGACGUGGUGGCAGUGCGACAGUGAGAGUCCCGAUUCCCAUAGUUUUCGCGAGGCGGAUCGAGGUGCCUCGCGUAAGAUCGCGUAGUAUAAAGCAUGCGAGUCGGGCGAUCGUAUUCUAUCGGCACCGUCGAACUUCAUCGUCGUAUCCGGCAUAUCCCCGGCGAAAAAGGAGCGAGCGAAUCGCGCGGUGACAGGGUCGAUACGUUGACUUCAAGGGCGUGCGGCUCACCCACGCAGACGCGAAAUCGUGGAUAAGACGAUUAACGAGGUAACUCGCGAAACGUCGGGUGGAGCUUCGUCGAUCGCGUCGCUGUAUAGGUUAUGUUUCUUUGGCAAUUGACAAAUGCUCAAGCAACGCUACUACUAAAUAUGUAACACGGAAAGGAUCCAUAUGUAUGUGUCGAAACGGACUCUGAAUUUUUUAUGACUGGUGAUAUUUGGAGGAGUUGAAGAAGGAUUGUCCGGCCUGUUUGCAUGUGUGACAUUGAUUUGUCACGGAAACUGAUGUGACGUGGAGUAAAUGUAGUAGAGUUUAUGCGAUUUCAGCAUGAAUGUGAUAAAUAUUGAUGUUCCAUUUAUGCGCAGAUUUAUGCAUGCAACUUAAAUGUUUUCAAG
Long non-coding RNA from Trachymyrmex septentrionalis, 651 nucleotides. RefSeq lists it as uncharacterized. The record is from RefSeq and is a predicted model, not a curated record. The transcript is spliced from 3 exons. Lineage: Eukaryota; Metazoa; Arthropoda; Insecta; Hymenoptera; Formicidae.